AGGGGAGGGGUGUGGGGAGAUGGGUGAGCCUGGUGGUGGGUAUUAAGGUGGGCAUGUAAUGCAUGGAACACUGGGUGUGGUGCAUAAACAAUGAAUUUUGGAACACUGAAAAAA
Molecule: long non-coding RNA, 114 nt
Organism: Mustela erminea (ermine)
Lineage: Eukaryota; Metazoa; Chordata; Mammalia; Carnivora; Mustelidae
Exons: 2
Source: RefSeq, a predicted model, not a curated record